Dermochelys coriacea (leatherback sea turtle) is the source of this 165-nucleotide long non-coding RNA. RefSeq lists it as uncharacterized. NCBI's taxonomy places the organism in Eukaryota, Metazoa, Chordata, Testudines, Dermochelyidae. The transcript has 2 exons. The record is from RefSeq and is a predicted model, not a curated record.
CUUGAUUCAUUUUUUUCUUUCUUAUAUAUAUAUUAUAUAUUUAUAUACAUUAAAAUAGUGUAUAUUGUGUAAUUUGUUUUUCUUUUUAAGUUCAGAUAACUGAGAUAAGGGGCAGGAUGAAAUGUAACCAACAGAGUGGAGCACAGAAACGUAAACUGGAGGAAG